AAUCAACGCUGGCGGCGUGCCUCAGACAUGCAAGUCGAACGAUUAAAGCUCCCUUCGGGGAGUGCAUAGAGUGGCGCACGGGUGAGUAACACGUAAGUAACCUACCUUCGAGUGGGGAAUAACGUCCGGAAACGGACGCUAAUACCGCAUAAUGCAGCGGCAUCGCAAGAUGACAGUUGUUAAAGAUUUAUCGCUUGAAGAGGAGCUUGCGGCAGAUUAGCUAGUUGGUAAGGUAAUGGCUUACCAAGGCUACGAUCUGUAACCGGUCUUAGAGGACGGUCGGUCACACUGACACUGAAUAACGGGUCAGACUCCUACGGGAGGCAGCAGUCGGGAAUUUUGGGCAAUGGGCGAAAGCCUGACCCAGCAACGCCGCGUGAAGGAUGAAGUAUUUCGGUAUGUAAACUUCGAAAGAAUGGGAAGAAUCAAUGACGGUACCAUUUAUAAGGUCCGGCUAACUACGUGCCAGCCGCCGCUGUAA
Molecule: ribosomal RNA, 481 nt
Filed under: uncultured bacterium
Lineage: Bacteria
Description: partial 16S ribosomal RNA
Rfam family: Bacterial small subunit ribosomal RNA
Source: RNAcentral